GAUGAACGCGUGACAGAAUGCUUAACACAUGCAAGUCGACGUCGAGUCUUCGGACUUGGGUGGCGCACGGGUGAGUAACGCGUAAAGAACUUGCCUCUUAGACCGGGACAACAUUUGGAAACGGAUGCUAAUACCGGAUAUUAUGGUUUCUUCGCAUGGGGGAAUCAUGAAAGCUACAUGCGCUAAGAGAGAGCUUUGCGUCCCAUUAGCUCGUUGGUGAGGUAACGGCCCACCAAGGCAAUGAUGGGUAGCCGGCCUGAGAGGGUGAACGGCCACAAGGGGACUGAGACACGGCCCUU
RNAcentral lists this ribosomal RNA (299 nucleotides) under uncultured bacterium. Its description in RNAcentral is "partial 16S ribosomal RNA". It matches the Rfam family "Bacterial small subunit ribosomal RNA", at positions 28 to 334 of the family's 1533-position model. The record is from RNAcentral.